GAAGUAAAAGUCGUAACAAGGUCUCCGUUGGUGAACCAGCGGAGGGAUCAUUACCGAGUUUACAACUCCCAAACCCCUGUGAACAUACCACUUGUUGCCUCGGCGGAUCAGCCCGCUCCCGGUAAAACGGGACGGCCCGCCAGAGGACCCCUAAACUCUGUUUCUAUAUGUAACUUCUGAGUAAAACCAUAAAUAAAUCAAAACUUUCAACAACGGAUCUCUUGGUUCUGGCAUCGAUGAAGAACGCAGCAAAAUGCGAUAAGUAAUGUGAAUUGCAGAAUUCAGUGAAUCAUCGAAUCUUUGAACGCACAUUGCGCCCGCCAGUAUUCUGGCGGGCAUGCCUGUUCGAGCGUCAUUUCAACCCUCAAGCACAGCUUGGUGUUGGGACUCGCGUUAAUUCGCGUUCCUCAAAUUGAUUGGCGGUCACGUCGAGCUUCCAUAGCGUAGUAGUAAAACCCUCGUUACUGGUAAUCGUCGCGGCCACGCCGUUAAACCCCAACUUCUGAAUGUUGACCUCGGAUCAGGUAGGAAUACCCGCUGAACUUAAGCAUAU
RNAcentral lists this ribosomal RNA (553 nucleotides) under Fusarium oxysporum. RNAcentral's name for it is "eukaryotic LSU rRNA". The stretch from base 202 to 355 matches the Rfam family "5.8S ribosomal RNA". Lineage: Eukaryota; Fungi; Ascomycota; Sordariomycetes; Hypocreales; Nectriaceae. The record is from RNAcentral.